GUGACCUGGAGGACACGUGUGUCCCCACCGUCAAGCCAACGCCACCAGACCACGAGGGCACCUACAAAUGGACCCAGGCGCGCUUCUGGGUGGGCGUGGGAGGCGCCUGAUGUCUCUGCUCUGUUUUACAGUUACUCGCCUGCAGGUGCCUCCUGCCCCCGCGCGGUUCCCGCCUGCGCUCGGCUCACUCUUAGCCGGCACGAACUCGCGGUCAGCACCCGCUCGUAGGAGGGCGCGCGGGCGAGGAGAGGUGAGUGGCCGGAACCAGGGUGUGGGAGGAGCAGCUGGCUGCCUGCACCGCCGUUCUGCCUUGCGGUGUCUCCAACAGCCGGCCUGCGAGUUGGGACGUUGGGAGAUCCCAGGAUCCUGUUGGCAGAGCGACUGUGUUUUCACCUGGAUCGACUCUCCUCCUCCCUAGGCCCAGAAGAUCCAAGGUCUUCCCCCAAGGCAACCUGUGAAAAGGCUUUUAAUAACACACCUGCUGGCUUUUGAGCACGGCGCACAGCACACAGUAGGCACCAAGUGCAUUCUGAUGUUUCUGGCCUCGGAGGCGGCUUCUCCGACUUCUCCGGCUUCUCAGUCGCCAGAGCCUCGGCUGGGAACAGUGCGGCUGCCUACGCCCGGCUGCCCCGGGGUCGGCUGGCCUCUGAGUGACUAGGGGCCAGGACCUACGCCUUUCGCACUCUCGGGGCCGCAGAAAAGAGGGUGUCAGGCACCAACUCGGAAGCCGCACCCGCUGUGGCCAGAGCCUAAGUAAAGAAUCCGUUCUAAGCAUUCACACCUCGAUCACCCGAGAGAACUCCUUGGGGCUGCGGCCUUUGGAAGCAGAAGCACCC
Molecule: long non-coding RNA, 836 nt
Filed under: Marmota monax (woodchuck)
Lineage: Eukaryota; Metazoa; Chordata; Mammalia; Rodentia; Sciuridae
Source: RNAcentral